RNAcentral lists this ribosomal RNA (372 nucleotides) under uncultured bacterium. RNAcentral describes it as "bacterial SSU rRNA". It matches the Rfam family "Bacterial small subunit ribosomal RNA", at positions 524 to 898 of the family's 1533-position model. The record is from RNAcentral.
UACGGAGGAUGCAAGCGUUAUCCGGAUUUAUUGGGUUUAAAGGGUGCGCAGGUUGUUUGACAAGUCAGUGGUGAAAGUCUGCCGCUUAACGGAAGGAUUGCCAUUGAUACUGUUGGACUUGAGUAUGGAUAAGGUAUGCGGAAUGUGUAGUGUAGCGGUGAAAUGCAUAGAUAUUACACAGAACACCGAUUGCGAAGGCAGCAUACUGGGCCAUUACUGACGCUGAGGCACGAAAGCGUGGGGAUCAAACAGGAUUAGAUACCCUGGUAGUCCACGCUGUAAACGAUGAUCACUCGCUGUUUGCGAUAUACAGCAAGCGGCUGAGCGAAAGCAAUAAGUGAUCCACCUGGGGAGUACGAUCGCAAGGUUGAA